Molecule: long non-coding RNA, 600 nt
Organism: Biomphalaria glabrata
Lineage: Eukaryota; Metazoa; Mollusca; Gastropoda; Planorbidae
Exons: 3
Source: RefSeq, a predicted model, not a curated record
AACAAAAUUAAUGCUCAAGAGAGAAAACAAAAAAUGCUACUAAAAACAAAUAAUGGGAAUAAAGAGCCAAGAAAACUCAUUAAACUUUUUUUGAUUUAUCAUCCCAUUACUUAGCUUCUUUGAAACAAUGUUCCAUUUUAAUGUAUGUGUGUGUCUACAUUUUAAAUUUUCAUUGAGAGGAUUAAAUACACUGUGGACAAAAGGAAUGAGGGCAAAUCAAUCAAUGCAUAUAUGACUGCAGUCUCUGUGAUCACAUGAAGUGAGAUACAAAUAAAAAAAGCUUUUAGCACACGAUAAAGCUGUACUUCAAGUUAAUGUAAAAUAGAAUGAUCUGUGACUGAAUGAGCUCUCCAAGCUAAAACUGCUUACAGUUACCAUGACAACACAGAUUUUAUACAGCCCCAGACAAUCACUUGAAACUAGUGGACCCUAAGGCCACUAAGGCAUUCAUCUAUCGAUCAUCGAAUAAUAGCACCGGAGACCAUCAACGCCUUCUAGCCCAGUGCAUUUUUACAUAUACUGAUGGGUCGACAUCAAUAGAGUCUGAAAGAUCAAUCUUUGGAGCCUACAUUGAGUAUCCUGGUUCUUAGUUAAAAUCUU